Molecule: ribosomal RNA, 424 nt
Filed under: uncultured bacterium
Lineage: Bacteria
Description: partial 16S ribosomal RNA
Rfam family: Bacterial small subunit ribosomal RNA
Source: RNAcentral
AAUUUUGGUCAAUGGGUGCAACCCUGAUCUAGCCAUCCCGCGUGUUCGCUGUAGGCCUUCUGUUUGUAAAGCACUUUUGGCAGGGAAGAUAUGGCUCUGGAUAAUACCGGGAGCUGCUGACGGUACCGGCAGUAUAAGCACCGGCAAACUACAUGCGAGCAUCCGCGGUAAUACGUAGGUUGCAAGCGUUAAUCGGAAUUACUGGGCGUAAAGCGUGCGCAGGCGGUUCGGAAAGAAGGAUGUGAAAUCCCAGGGCUUAACCUUGGAACUGCAUUCUUAACUGCCGGGCUAGAGUAUGUCAGAGGGGAGUAGAAUUCCGCGUGUAGCAGUGAAAUGCGUAGAGAUGCGGAGGAAUACCGAUGGCGAAGGCAGCCCCCUGGGAUAAUACUGACGCUCAUGCACGAAAGCGUGGGGAGCAAACAGG